Molecule: unclassified non-coding RNA, 258 nt
Filed under: uncultured Inocybe
Lineage: Eukaryota; Fungi; Basidiomycota; Agaricomycetes; Agaricales; Cortinariaceae
Description: sequence contains ITS1
Source: RNAcentral
UUGAAUAAACCUGAACAGGCUGUUGCUGGCCCAAUCUUUGUUGGGUAUGUGCACGCUUGUCAUUUUUAUCUCUCCAAGCUUGUGCACAUAUUGUAGACCUCUGGAAUUUUGUGUUUGUCCGACUCAAGUCGGUGCAGAUUAAGAAAUUGCUGCGCUUGUCAAGUCAGCUUUGUCUUUUGGUUUGCCCUAGGGGUCUAUAUAUUAUUUUAUUUACAAACAUGUUUUAGAGUGUCGAGUUGAAUAUAAAAAUUAAACGUA